CAACAAGCAUUGGAAUAGUAGUUUUAUAAUGGUCUUAGAGAGUCGAUGGCAGCUGAAAAAUCGACACCCACUGAUAAAAUGAACCUACCCAAUGGCAAUGACCGCAAAACGGUCGGUGGAAAGGCCUUAUCCUUUACGAGUUGGAUUAUCCCGAUAGAUAAUCAACAAAGGUGGUACCGCGAAAUCCAAGCAUUUCGUCCUUUUU
Molecule: non-coding RNA, 205 nt
Organism: Enterococcus sp. 2G9_DIV0600
Lineage: Bacteria; Bacillati; Bacillota; Bacilli; Lactobacillales; Enterococcaceae
Source: Rfam